This 421-nucleotide unclassified non-coding RNA is filed under the name Hevea brasiliensis (rubber tree). The record is from RNAcentral. Lineage: Eukaryota; Viridiplantae; Streptophyta; Magnoliopsida; Malpighiales; Euphorbiaceae.
AAAACUACAGAGAUUUAUCCAAAGAAAUAAGGGAAGUAUUUUUUUUUUUCACCACUUGUAUUUCUAAAGUAGUUUGUUUGUAUAACAUCAAAAUCUUGGCUUACUUCAAUGCUUACCUCGUUGGUGACGAGGUAAAAGUUCAUGACUCGAACCAAGAAUGCCGACCUUCCGAAGAUUUCACACAGACAACGGAUUGUUGGGAUGCAGGGCUUCUUGAAGAGUUUUCACUGCACUAUCAUAAGAUACAAAGCCCAUAAACCAGAAUUCAUGAUUGUCAAUGGAGAUAACCUGUAUGAACUUUUCAGCCGGUUUCGCUUUGCUUGUUGAUGGGUUGACUGCUUUUAGGUGAUGUAGUGGGAUCACCACCUUGUACAGGCUCCAUUGAGUCUCCUCGCCCACUUUGUAUGAAAGAGGAUUAUCA